RNAcentral lists this unclassified non-coding RNA (153 nucleotides) under uncultured fungus. RNAcentral describes it as "sequence contains ITS2". The record is from RNAcentral. Lineage: Eukaryota; Fungi.
CUACCAUCAAGCCCCCGGCUUGUGUUGGGGCCCUGCGGCCGUCCGCAGCCCCCGAAAUGCAGUGGCGGGCUCGCGACCGCACCGAGCGCAGUAGGUGACUCUCGCUCCGGGAGCGGCGGCGGGCGCCGGCCGUGAAACCACCCAAUCGUAACC